GAAAUGCGAUACUUGGUGUGAAUUGCAGAAUCCCGUGAACCAUCGAGUCUUUGAACGCAAGUUGCGCUCUUUGGUAUUCCGAAGAGCAUGCUUGUUUGAGUAUCAGUAAACACCUCAACCUCUCUUUUUGACAAAAAAAGGGAGGGUGGACUUGAGCUAUCCCAACGACCUUCACCGGUAGGCGGGCGGCUUGAAAUGCAGGUGCAGCUGGACUUUUAUCUGAGCUAAAAGCAUAUCUAUUUAGUCCUCGUCAAACAGGAUUAUUACUUUUGCUGCAGCUAACAUAAAGGAUAAUUGUCCUCUUUGCUGACUGAUGCAGGAUUUUACGACACUUUAUGUGUUGUUCAACUCGAUCUCAAAUCAAGUAAGACUACCCGCUGAACUUAA
RNAcentral lists this unclassified non-coding RNA (387 nucleotides) under uncultured fungus. RNAcentral's name for it is "sequence contains ITS1". The stretch from base 1 to 105 matches the Rfam family "5.8S ribosomal RNA", at positions 50 to 154 of the family's 154-position model. The record is from RNAcentral. Lineage: Eukaryota; Fungi.